Molecule: long non-coding RNA, 778 nt
Organism: Mangifera indica (mango)
Lineage: Eukaryota; Viridiplantae; Streptophyta; Magnoliopsida; Sapindales; Anacardiaceae
Exons: 2
Source: RefSeq, a predicted model, not a curated record
UAUUUCUUUCUUGGUGUAUGGACUCUAUAAUUAUUUCGCUGAUAUUAUUUUCCAAUCAUUAAUUUAUGUUCAUGUGUUGAUAAUCAGUUAAAACACAUUGUAGAAGCCUAUCUGGUUGAGUCCAGUGGUUCCGCGAAGGAUUUAUUCCGCCAUUUGAAGAACGUUUGAGCAAUGGAAUAACCACAGCUUCUUGGUUCUUUAGGACAGCAGCGAUGUUUGUAGGAAUGGGAGAAAUUGCAGGAAUCAAAGAGUAUGAGUGGCUUCAUAGUAUCCAAAGGUCGUUGAAGCUUCAUAUAAAAUUUAUCGUCUGCAGGCGGACAUCGUAUCCCACCUUGUAUAACUGUUUGAGCAAGAGAGAGGACAUGUAGCCCCUGUUGUGGAAAGCUAUAUGCAUGAAUAUGGAGUCUCCAGAGAGGAAACGCUUGAGAGGUUAAAGAUUAUGAUAAGUGAUGCUUGGAAGGAUAUAAAUGAAGACUGGAUGAAACCAACAGCCGUCUCAACGCAUAUAUUGCUUAGACCUAUCAAUAUUCCACGCUUAAUGAAUCUCUUAUAUGAUAAACAGGAUGGAGUCUCAUUUCCAGAGUCUUGCAAGGAUAAAAUCAUCGCACUCUACGUUGAUCCAAUAUCCAUUUGAUUCUUCCAAGGUGUAUGUGAUUGAUUCAAUCGAUAAAAAAUGUGUAUAUCCAAUAAAUUCUUGUUUUAUCAUGCUAUUGAUCAGUCUUGGUUAUUAGUGCCCUGAAAUCAAUAAAGCAGGCAUGCGUUAUUGUUAUUUUUGUUA